GAGGGUGUCACAAGACCUGCUAACUCUUACUUCUGGAACUAACCACCAGCUCCCU
This 55-nucleotide transfer RNA is filed under the name Masticophis flagellum (coachwhip). RNAcentral's name for it is "tRNA-Ser". The record is from RNAcentral. Lineage: Eukaryota; Metazoa; Chordata; Lepidosauria; Squamata; Colubridae.